Molecule: ribosomal RNA, 379 nt
Filed under: uncultured eukaryote
Lineage: Eukaryota
Description: partial 18S ribosomal RNA
Rfam family: Eukaryotic small subunit ribosomal RNA
Source: RNAcentral
CAAUAGCGUAUAUUAAAGUUGUUGCGGUUAAAAAGCUCGUAGUUGGAUUUCUGCUGAGAACGACCGGUCCGCCCUUUGGGUGUGUAUCUGGCUCUUUCUUGGCAUCUUCUUGGUGAACGUUGCUGCACUUGACUGUGUGGAGCGCUACCCAGGACUUUUACUUUGAGGAAAUUAGAGUGUUUCAAGCAGGCAUACGCCUUGAAUACAUUAGCAUGGAAUAAUAAGAUAGGACCUCGGUUCUAUUUUGUUGGUUUCUAGAGCUGAGGUAAUGAUUAAUAGGGAUAGUUGGGGGCAUUCGUAUUUAACUGUCAGAGGUGAGAUUCUUGGAUUUGUUAAAGACGGACUACUGCGAAAGCAUUUGCCAAGGAUGUUUUCAUUG